This 253-nucleotide ribosomal RNA is filed under the name uncultured bacterium. Its description in RNAcentral is "partial 16S ribosomal RNA". It matches the Rfam family "Bacterial small subunit ribosomal RNA", at positions 524 to 776 of the family's 1533-position model. The record is from RNAcentral.
GACGGAGGAUGCAAGCGUUAUCCGGAAUGAUUGGGCGUAAAGCGUCCGCAGGUGGCAGUUCAAGUCUGCUGUCAAAGACCGGGGCUUAACUUCGGAAAGGCAGUGGAAACUGAACAGCUAGAGUAUGGUAGGGGCAGAGGGAAUUCCUGGUGUAGCGGUGAAAUGCGUAGAUAUCAGGAAGAACAUCGGUGGCGAAGGCGCUCUGCUGGACCAUAACUGACACUCAGGGACGAAAGCUAGGGGCGCGAAUGGG